AUACUAUUCCCUCUGUCCGGAAAUACUUGUCAUCAAAAUGAAUAAAAGGAGAUGUAUCUAGACGUAUUUUAGUUCUAGAUACAUCCUUUUUUAUCUAUUUUAAAGACAAGUAUUUUCAGACGAAGGAAGUAUAUG
Non-coding RNA from Triticum aestivum (bread wheat), 135 nucleotides. The record is from Rfam. Lineage: Eukaryota; Viridiplantae; Streptophyta; Magnoliopsida; Poales; Poaceae.